This 265-nucleotide unclassified non-coding RNA is filed under the name uncultured Pleosporales. RNAcentral's name for it is "sequence contains 5.8S rRNA gene, ITS2, 28S rRNA gene". Lineage: Eukaryota; Fungi; Ascomycota; Dothideomycetes; Pleosporales. The record is from RNAcentral.
AACGCACAUUGCGCCCCUUGGUAUUCCARGGGGCAUGCCUGUUCGAGCGUCAUUUGUACCUUCAAGCUUUGCUUGGUGUUGGGCGUUACUUUGUCUCUCCUUGCGGGGGGAGACUCGCCUUAAAACGAUUGGCAGCCGGCCUACUGGUUUCGGAGCGCAGCACAUUUUUUGCGCUUUGUACCGGGAGAAAAGGACGGUACUCCAUCAAGACGUACCAAUUUCCACUUUUGACCUCGGAUCAGGUAGGGAUACCCGCUGAACUUAA